GUUACAGUCCCUCUAUAUGAAAAUACUUCCAAUGUCGAAUUGG
RNAcentral lists this small RNA (43 nucleotides) under uncultured Nitzschia. RNAcentral describes it as "partial Mitochondrion-encoded tmRNA". The record is from RNAcentral. Lineage: Eukaryota; Bacillariophyta; Bacillariophyceae; Bacillariales; Bacillariaceae.